RNAcentral lists this ribosomal RNA (403 nucleotides) under bacterium. RNAcentral describes it as "partial 16S ribosomal RNA". It matches the Rfam family "Bacterial small subunit ribosomal RNA", at positions 355 to 776 of the family's 1533-position model. The record is from RNAcentral.
UGGGGAAUAUUGCACAAUGGGGGAAACCCUGAUGCAGCGACGCCGCGUGAACGAAGAAGGUAUUCGUAUCGUAAAGUUCUGUCCUAUGGGAAGAUAAUGACAGUACCAUAGAAGAAAGCUCCGGCUAAAUACGUGCCAGCAGCCGCGGUAAUACGUAUGGAGCGAGCGCUGUCCGGAAUUAUUGGGCGUAAAGGGUACGCAGGCGGUUUAAUAAGUCGAAUGUUAAAGAUCCGGGCUCAACCCCGUAAAGCAUUGGAAACUGAUAAACUAGAGUAGUGGAGAGGAAAGUGGAAUUCCUGGUGUAGUGGUGAAAUACGUAUAUAUUAGGAGGAAUACAAGUAGCGAGGGCGACUUUCUGGACACAAACUGACGCUGAGAUACGAAAGCGUGGGGAGCAAACAGG